GGGCUUGUGGCGCAACGAUAACGCGUCUGAUUACGGAUCAGAACAUUCCAUGUUCGAAUCCUGGCAAGCUCA
Molecule: transfer RNA, 72 nt
Filed under: Ixodes scapularis (black-legged tick)
Lineage: Eukaryota; Metazoa; Arthropoda; Arachnida; Ixodida; Ixodidae
Rfam family: tRNA
About the family: Transfer RNA (tRNA) molecules are approximately 80 nucleotides in length. Their secondary structure includes four short double-helical elements and three loops (D, anti-codon, and T loops). Further hydrogen bonds mediate the characteristic L-shaped molecular structure. tRNAs have two regions of fundamental functional importance: the anti-codon, which is responsible for specific mRNA codon recognition, and the 3' end, to which the tRNAs corresponding amino acid is attached (by aminoacyl-tRNA synthetases). tRNAs cope with the degeneracy of the genetic code in two manners: having more than one tRNA (with a specific anti-codon) for a particular amino acid; and 'wobble' base-pairing, i.e. permitting non-standard base-pairing at the 3rd anti-codon position.
Source: Rfam by way of RNAcentral